CCUACGGGAGGCAGCAGUAGGGAAUCUUCCGCAAUGGACGAAAGUCUGACGGAGCAACGCCACGUGAGCGAUGAAGGCCUUCGGGUCGUAAAGCUCUGUUGUCAGGGAAGAACAAGUAUCGGAGUAACUGCCGGUACCUUGACGGUACCUGACCAGAAAGCCACGGCUAACUACGUGCCAGCAGCCGCGGUAAUACGUAGGUGGCAAGCGUUGUCCGGAAUUAUUGGGCGUAAAGCGCGCGCAGGCGGUUCCUUAAGUCUGAUGUGAAAGCCCCCGGCUCAACCGGGGAGGGUCAUUGGAAACUGGGGAACUUGAGUGCAGAAGAGGAGAGCGGAAUUCCACGUGUAGCGGUGAAAUGCGUAGAGAUGUGGAGGAACACCAGUGGCGAAGGCGGCUCUCUGGUCUGUAACUGACGCUGAGGCGCGAAAGCGUGGGGAGCGAACAGGAUUAGAUACCCUGGUAGUCCACGCCGUAAACGAUGAGUGCUAAGUGUUAGAGGGUUUCCGCCCUUUAGUGCUGCAGCAAACGCAUUAAGCACUCCGCCUGGGGAGUACGGCCGCAAGGCUGAAACUCAAAGGAAUUGACGG
RNAcentral lists this ribosomal RNA (587 nucleotides) under uncultured bacterium. Its description in RNAcentral is "bacterial SSU rRNA". It matches the Rfam family "Bacterial small subunit ribosomal RNA", at positions 338 to 916 of the family's 1533-position model. The record is from RNAcentral.